This 468-nucleotide ribosomal RNA is filed under the name uncultured bacterium. RNAcentral's name for it is "partial 16S ribosomal RNA". It matches the Rfam family "Bacterial small subunit ribosomal RNA", at positions 28 to 507 of the family's 1533-position model. The record is from RNAcentral.
GACGAACGCUGGCGGCGUGCUUAACACAUGCAAGUCGAACGGAAAGGCCCGGCUUUUGUGGGGUGCUCGAUUGGCGAACGGGUGAGUAACACGUGAGUAACCUGCCCUUGACUUUGGGAUAACUUCAGGGAACUGGGGCUAAUACCGGAUAGGAGCUCCUGCUGCAUGGGGGGGGUUGGAAAGUGUCGGCGGUUGGGGAUCGACUCGCGGGUUAUCCGCUUGUUGGUCGGGUAGUUGCUUACCAAGGUUGUGACGGGUAGGCGGCCUGAGAGGGUGACCGGGCACCUUGGGACUGCGAUACGGCGCAGUAUGCUACGGGAGGCAGUAGGGGGGAAUCUGGCACAAUGGGCGGAAGCGUGAUGUGGCAACGUCGCGUGCGUGAUGACGGCCUUCGGGUUGUAAACCGAUUUCGCCUGAGACGAAGAGUGAGUGACGGUACUGGGUAAAGAAGCACCGGCUAACUACGUA